Molecule: non-coding RNA, 112 nt
Organism: Acanthosepion pharaonis
Lineage: Eukaryota; Metazoa; Mollusca; Cephalopoda; Sepiida; Sepiidae
Source: the annotation of a GenBank genome assembly
UACGGCAUUAUCACGUUGAAACACAGGUUUCAUACGAUCACAGAAGUUAAGCAACGCUGAGCCUGGUCUGUACCUAGGUGGGUGACUGCUUUGGAAUAUCAGGUGCUGAAAG